RNAcentral lists this signal recognition particle RNA (86 nucleotides) under Brockia lithotrophica. RNAcentral's name for it is "signal recognition particle sRNA small type". It matches the Rfam family "Bacterial small signal recognition particle RNA". From Rfam's summary of the family: The signal recognition particle (SRP) is a universally conserved ribonucleoprotein involved in the co-translational targeting of proteins to membranes. Archaeal SRP consists of a 7S RNA and homologues of the eukaryotic SRP19 and SRP54 proteins. Lineage: Bacteria; Bacillati; Bacillota; Bacilli; Thermicanales; Thermicanaceae. The record is from RNAcentral.
CUGCGUCGGCACGGAUGGAGUACCGAACCGGGUCAGGUCGGAAACGAAGCAGCCCUAAGGUGCGAGAUCCGGUGCCGGCGUCUUUU